CAAAAACAUCGCCUCUUGCAAACUUAAUAAAUAAGAGGUCCCGCCUGCCCUGUGACUAUUAGUUUAACGGCCGCGGUAUUUUGACCGUGCGAAGGUAGCGCAAUCACUUGUCUUUUAAAUGAAGACCUGUAUGAAUGGCAUAACGAGGGCUUAACUGUCUCCUCCCUCCAGUCAAUGAAAUUGAUCUUCCCGUGCAGAAGCGGGAAUACGAACAUAAGACGAGAAGACCCUAUGGAGCUUUAGACACCAAGACAGAUCAUGUUAAUGACCCUGAAUAAAGGAACAAACCAAAUGGAAUCCGUCCUAAUGUCUUUGGUUGGGGCGACCGCGGGGAAUUAGAGAACCCCCACGUGGAAUGGGAGCACCCCUCCUACAACUAAGAGCUACAGCUCUAGUAAACAGAAAUUCUGACCAGCAAGAUCCGGCAAUGCCGAUCAACGGACCGAGUUACCCUAGGGAUAACAGCGCAAUCCUCUUUUAGAGCCCAUAUCGACAAGGGGGUUUACGACCUCGAUGUUGGAUCAGGACAUCCUAAUGGUGCAGCCGCUAUUAAGGGUUCGUUUGUUCAACGAUUAAAGUCCUACGUGAUCUGA
This 593-nucleotide ribosomal RNA is filed under the name Pholis nebulosa (tidepool gunnel). RNAcentral describes it as "partial 16S ribosomal RNA". It matches the Rfam family "Bacterial large subunit ribosomal RNA", at positions 1808 to 2608 of the family's 2925-position model. The record is from RNAcentral. Lineage: Eukaryota; Metazoa; Chordata; Actinopteri; Perciformes; Pholidae.